GUGCUGGCGCGGCUACCGUGCGGUCGAGCGGAACGAGUUAACUGAACCUUCGGGGAACGUUAACGGCGUCGAGCGGCGGACGGGUGAGUAAUGCCUGGGAAAUUGCCCUGAUGUGGGGGAUAACCAUUGGAAACGAUGGCUAAUACCGCAUAAUAGCUUCGGCUCAAAGAGGGGGACCUUCGGGCCUCUCGCGUCAGGAUAUGCCCAGGUGGGAUUAGCUAGUUGGUGAGGUAAUGGCUCACCAAGGCGACGAUCCCUAGCUGGUCUGAGAGGAUGAUCAGCCACACUGGAACUGAGACACGGUCCAGACUCCUACGGGAGGCAGCAGUGGGGAAUAUUGCACAAUGGGCGCAAGCCUGAUGCAGCCAUGCCGCGUGUAUGAAGAAGGCCUUCGGGUUGUAAAGUACUUUCAGCAGUGAGGAAGGUAUCGUAGUUAAUAGCUGCGUCAUUUGACGUUAGCUGCAGAAGAAGCACCGGCUAACUCCGUGCCAGCAGCCGCGGUAAUACGGAGGGUGCGAGCGUUAAUCGGAAUUACUGGGCGUAAAGCGCAUGCAGGUGGUUUGUUAAGUCAGAUGUGAAAGCCCGGGGCUCAACCUCGGAAUUGCAUUUGAAACUGGCAGACUAGAGUACUGUAGAGGGGGGUAGAAUUUCAGGUGUAGCGGUGAAAUGCGUAGAGAUCUGAAGGAAUACCGGUGGCGAAGGCGGCCCCCUGGACAGAUACUGACACUCAGAUGCGAAAGCGUGGGGAGCAAACAGGAUUAGAUACCCUGGUAGUCCACGCCGUAAACGAUGUCUACUUGGAGGUUGUGGCCUUGAGCCGUGGCUUUCGGAGCUAACGCGUUAAGUAGACCGCCUGGGGAGUACGGUCGCAAGAUUAAAACUCAAAUGAAUUGACGGGGGCCCGCACAAGCGGUGGAGCAUGUGGUUUAAUUCGAUGCAACGCGAAGAACCUUACCUACUCUUGACAUCUAGAGAACUUACCAGAGAUGCAUUGGUGCCUUCGGGAACUCUGAGACAGGUGCUGCAUGGCUGUCGUCAGCUCGUGUUGUGAAAUGUUGGGUUAAGUCCCGCAACGGGGCGCAACCCUUAUCCUUGUUUGCCAGG
This 1104-nucleotide ribosomal RNA is filed under the name Vibrio sp. D6022. Its description in RNAcentral is "bacterial SSU rRNA". It matches the Rfam family "Bacterial small subunit ribosomal RNA", at positions 33 to 1122 of the family's 1533-position model. The record is from RNAcentral. Lineage: Bacteria; Pseudomonadati; Pseudomonadota; Gammaproteobacteria; Vibrionales; Vibrionaceae.